AUGCAGGUCACUAAGAUGAGUAAGAAACACAAGUGUUCUUCAAGUAGCAGAGUAAAAACCACCAUGGCAACACAAGGUUGGGUUGAAGCCAAGGCAAUGAGUAUACUCCAGAAUGAUCCUACCAUAGGAUGUAAAGAACUACAAGAGAAGCUCGAAGAAACUUAUGACAUCACCAUUGGUUAUGAUACAGUUUGGGCCGGUAAAUCUAGAGCCGAAAAACAGAUUUAUGGCACUUUGAAGCAGAGUUUUCAGAAUUUGCAUAACUUCAAAGCAGAAGUUGAGAAGAGAUCUCCAGGGAGCAUCGUAGAGGUUGAUACCAAGGUAGUAGAUGGUAAAGUCCACUUUCACAGAUUCUUUAUGGCUCUUAAACCUUCCAUAGAUGGUUUUCUAGCUGGUUGUAGACCAUAUCUCAGCAUAGACUCCACGGCAUUGAAUGGUAGAUGGAGAGGACACUUGGCAGCUUGUACAACAUUAGAUGGUCAUAACUGGAUGUUUCCUGUUGCAAUUGGGUUCAUUGAUGGAGAGACUGAGGAAAACUGGACUUGGUUCAUGUCACAACUCAAUAGAGCUUUAGGUUCAGUCCCUAACUUAGCUAUAUGUACAGAUGCAUGCAAAGGUUUAGAAAAUGCUGUCAAAAAGGUUUUUCCUCAUGUGGAGCAGAGAGAGUGUUUUAGGCACUUGAUGGCAAACUUCACAAAAAAAUUCAAAGGUGAUGUGUUUGGUAGGAUGUGGCCUGCUGCUAGGGCAUAUAGGCCUGAAGUUUUCUCCCAUCAUAUGCAGAAAGUCUUGGCAGCUAGUAGCCGUGUGCAUGAAUAUUUGUCAACCUAUCACAGUUUGAAGUGGAUGAGAUGCAGUUUCAAUGCAGACAUCAAGUGUGAUUAUAUAAACAACAAUCUGGCCGAGUCUUUUAAUAACUGGAUAAAAGAUUAUAAAGACUUGCCUGUUGAUGAGCUUGCUGACACAUAUAGAGAGUUGUUGAUGAAACUAGUAUACAAAAGAAGGAGAAUUGGGGAGAAAUUGAGGGGAAAGAUCAUUCCUGCUGUUAUUCAACAGAUUUUCAAUAGGACUAGAGGGCUUGGUCAUCUAAAAGUUGGAAAAUCAGGUAAUGGUAGUUGUGAAGUCAGGGACACAAGCAAAAACAGUCUUAGGCAUGUUGUGAAGGUUGAUAAACAUGAAUGCACCUGUUUGGAAUGGCAGCACACCGGAAAGCCUUGUGAGCAUGCUCUAGUAUUUUUGAUGGGGAGGAGAAACCCCAAAUGGGUUGACUAUGUUCAUAAUUAUUUCUCCUUGGACAAGUUUAGGGCAGCUUAUGCAGGUGAGAUUGAGCCUAUGACAGAUAGGAGUCAAUGGCCUCAUGUGGAUGUUGGUUUCGACAUGGACGCACCAAUUGACAAAGGAAGACCGCCUGGAAGGCCUAGAAAGCAGAGGUACAAGAGUGCCCUCGAAGGUGGAAAAGGUGGUCCAAAAAAGAAAGAACCUAAACAAUUGGGCAGCCAAAACAGAUGCAAAAGAUGCAAUGAACUAGGUCACAGACAAGCUGCUUGCCCUUUAAAUGGUCCCAAAAAAAGGUAA
Molecule: ribosomal RNA, 1572 nt
Filed under: Triticum aestivum (bread wheat)
Lineage: Eukaryota; Viridiplantae; Streptophyta; Magnoliopsida; Poales; Poaceae
Description: partial small subunit ribosomal RNA
Source: RNAcentral